This 1076-nucleotide ribosomal RNA is filed under the name Staphylococcus xylosus. RNAcentral's name for it is "bacterial SSU rRNA". It matches the Rfam family "Bacterial small subunit ribosomal RNA", at positions 65 to 1120 of the family's 1533-position model. The record is from RNAcentral. Lineage: Bacteria; Bacillati; Bacillota; Bacilli; Caryophanales; Staphylococcaceae.
AGCGAACAGAUAAGGAGCUUGCUCCUUUGAAGUUAGCGGCGGACGGGUGAGUAACACGUGGGUAACCUACCUAUAAGACUGGGAUAACUUCGGGAAACCGGAGCUAAUACCGGAUAACAUUUAGAACCGCAUGGUUCUAAAGUGAAAGAUGGUUUUGCUAUCACUUAUAGAUGGACCCGCGCCGUAUUAGCUAGUUGGUAAGGUAACGGCUUACCAAGGCGACGAUACGUAGCCGACCUGAGAGGGUGAUCGGCCACACUGGAACUGAGACACGGUCCAGACUCCUACGGGAGGCAGCAGUAGGGAAUCUUCCGCAAUGGGCGAAAGCCUGACGGAGCAACGCCGCGUGAGUGAUGAAGGGUUUCGGCUCGUAAAACUCUGUUAUUAGGGAAGAACAAAUGUGUAAGUAACUGUGCACAUCUUGACGGUACCUAAUCAGAAAGCCACGGCUAACUACGUGCCAGCAGCCGCGGUAAUACGUAGGUGGCAAGCGUUAUCCGGAAUUAUUGGGCGUAAAGCGCGCGUAGGCGGUUUCUUAAGUCUGAUGUGAAAGCCCACGGCUCAACCGUGGAGGGUCAUUGGAAACUGGGAAACUUGAGUGCAGAAGAGGAAAGUGGAAUUCCAUGUGUAGCGGUGAAAUGCGCAGAGAUAUGGAGGAACACCAGUGGCGAAGGCGACUUUCUGGUCUGUAACUGACGCUGAUGUGCGAAAGCGUGGGGAUCAAACAGGAUUAGAUACCCUGGUAGUCCACGCCGUAAACGAUGAGUGCUAAGUGUUAGGGGGUUUCCGCCCCUUAGUGCUGCAGCUAACGCAUUAAGCACUCCGCCUGGGGAGUACGACCGCAAGGUUGAAACUCAAAGGAAUUGACGGGGACCCGCACAAGCGGUGGAGCAUGUGGUUUAAUUCGAAGCAACGCGAAGAACCUUACCAAAUCUUGACAUCCUUUGAAAACUCUAGAGAUAGAGCCUUCCCCUUCGGGGGACAAAGUGACAGGUGGUGCAUGGUUGUCGUCAGCUCGUGUCGUGAGAUGUUGGGUUAAGUCCCGCAACGAGCGCAACCCUUAAGCUUAGUUGCCA